Molecule: small RNA, 487 nt
Filed under: Histoplasma capsulatum
Lineage: Eukaryota; Fungi; Ascomycota; Eurotiomycetes; Onygenales; Ajellomycetaceae
Also listed under: 1 other name
Description: hypothetical RNA
Source: RNAcentral
ACUGUUUCAUAUCUCAACAACUUUAUAAGAUAAAAGUUACUAAUUUUGUAUAGAUAAAAUGUAGACUGUUAGGUUUGUUUAAUCUACUGCAUUAUUUAUAAAGAUAAUUUUUCAAUAUUAGAAAAUAUCUGAUAAAAAUUUGUGGUUCCUACACUAUGCUGCAACUUACUGGCGCUUGCCGUGGAGAGGCGGUGGGGAUGCGUGGCCAUGGCCGUUGUGGGCUGGGCCACACCACCACACCCACAGGUAUGUAUAUCCCUAUGAGCACAACCAUUUAACAAAUGGUUACGUUGGCCUUUUUCUAUAUAGUGUUAGCUUUAUCACAAAUUAAUAAGUCAAGAAGAUCUUCAAAAAUAUUGACUUCUUUCAAAUAAAUUUAUAUAUAUCUUUUAAUGUAGUUCACCACAUUCUCGUUAGCCUGACCAUGUGAUAUGGCCCAAUUGAAUUUCUCACACAUCAACCUCAUAUAGUUAUUCAUAAUAAAAGA